This 224-nucleotide long non-coding RNA is filed under the name Nicotiana benthamiana. RNAcentral's name for it is "long non-coding RNA (NBEN_LNC000716)". The record is from RNAcentral. Lineage: Eukaryota; Viridiplantae; Streptophyta; Magnoliopsida; Solanales; Solanaceae.
AUCAGGACUUCUCCUCCGCACAUGCCCGAACCACCUCAGUCUCGCUUCUCGCAUCUUCUCAUUAAUCGGGGCCACCCCCACCUUCUGUCGAAUAGCUUCAUUCUUAAUCUUAUCUAACCUGGUGAGCUCGCAAAUCCACCUGAGCAUCCUCAUCUCCGCUGUCUUCAUUCUCUGAACAUGAGAGUUCUUCACGGGCCAGCACUCCGCCCCAUACAACAUUGCAG